Molecule: transfer RNA, 84 nt
Filed under: Echinostoma caproni
Lineage: Eukaryota; Metazoa; Platyhelminthes; Trematoda; Plagiorchiida; Echinostomatidae
Rfam family: tRNA
About the family: Transfer RNA (tRNA) molecules are approximately 80 nucleotides in length.
Source: Rfam by way of RNAcentral
GGUCUCGUAGCUCAGCUGGUAGAGCGUACGCUGGAUAAAAGUGUAGGCGGCGUCUAUGUGUGGGUUCGAAUCCCACCGAGGCUA